Molecule: ribosomal RNA, 352 nt
Filed under: uncultured bacterium
Lineage: Bacteria
Description: bacterial SSU rRNA
Rfam family: Bacterial small subunit ribosomal RNA
Source: RNAcentral
AUUGAACGCUGGCGGCAGGCCUAACACAUGCAAGUCGAACGGUAACAGGAAGAAGCUUGCUUCUUUGCUGACGAGUGGCGGACGGGUGAGUAAUGUCUGGGAAACUGCCUGAUGGAGGGGGAUAACUACUGGAAACGGUAGCUAAUACCGCAUAACGUCGCAAGACCAAAAAAGGGGGACCUUCGGGCCUCUUGCCAUCGGAUGUGCCCAGAUGGGAUUAGCUAGUAGGUGGGUAACGGCUCACCUAGGCGACGAUCCCUAGCUGGUCUGAGAGGAUGACCAGCCACACUGGAACUGAGACACGGUCCAGACUCCUACGGGAGGCAGCAGUGGGGAAUAUUGCACAAUGGGC